This 141-nucleotide ribosomal RNA is filed under the name Melghirimyces algeriensis. RNAcentral's name for it is "16S rRNA. Bacterial SSU". It matches the Rfam family "Bacterial small subunit ribosomal RNA", at positions 1 to 138 of the family's 1533-position model. Lineage: Bacteria; Bacillati; Bacillota; Bacilli; Caryophanales; Thermoactinomycetaceae. The record is from RNAcentral.
AUUCAACGGAGAGUUUGAUCCUGGCUCAGGACGAACGCUGGCGGCGUGCCUAAUACAUGCAAGUCGAGCGGAGGAAGUUCCUUCGGGAGUGGAAUCAGCGGCGGACGGGUGAGUAACACGUGGGCAACCUGCCUGCAAGAC